This 520-nucleotide ribosomal RNA is filed under the name uncultured Glomus. RNAcentral describes it as "SSU rRNA". It matches the Rfam family "Eukaryotic small subunit ribosomal RNA", at positions 569 to 1089 of the family's 1831-position model. Lineage: Eukaryota; Fungi; Glomeromycota; Glomeromycetes; Glomerales; Glomeraceae. The record is from RNAcentral.
AGCAGCCGCGGUAAUUCCAGCUCCAAUAGCGUAUAUUAAAGUUGUUGCAGUUAAAAAGCUCGUAGUUGAAUUUCGGGAUCAAUUCGUCGGUCGUGCUUUCGGGUACGUACUGGUGUUUAUUGGUUUCUCCCUUCUGACGAACCAUGAUGUCAUUAAUUUGGUGUUAUGGGGAGUUAGGACUGUUACUUUGAAAAAAUUAGAGUGUUUAAAGCAGGCAUUAGCUUGAAUACAUUAGCAUGGAAUAAUGAAAUAGGACGUUCGAUCCUAUUUUGUUGGCUUCUAGGAUCAACGUAAUGAUUAAUAGGGAUAGUUGGGGGCAUUAGUAUUCAAUUGUCAGAGGUGAAAUUCUUGGAUUUAUUGAAGACUAACUACUGCGAAAGCAUUUGCCAAGGAUGUUUUCAUUAAUCAAGAACGAAAGUUAGGGGAUCGAAGACGAUCAGAUACCGUCGUAGUCUUAACCAUAAACUAUGCCGACUAGGGAUCGGAUGAUGUUAAUUUUUAAUGACUCAUUCGGCGCCUU